UGGGGGAUAUUGCACAAUGGGCGAAAGCCUGAUGCAGCGACGCCGCGUGGGGGAUGAAGGCUUUCGGGUUGUAAACCUCUUUCGCUAUCGAACAAGGCCCGCUUAGGGUGGGUUGAGGGUAGGUGGAGAAGAAGCGCCGGCUAACUACGUGCCAGCAGCCGCGGUAAUACGUAGGGCGCGAGCGUUGUCCGGAAUUAUUGGGCGUAAAGGGCUUGUAGGCGGCUUGUUGCGCCUGCUGUGAAAACGCGGGGCUUAACUUCGCGCGUGCAGUGGGUACGGGCAGGCUUGAGUGUGGUAGGGGUGACUGGAAUUCCAGGUGUAGCGGUGGAAUGCGCAGAUAUCUGGAGGAACACCGAUGCGAAGGCAGGUCACUGGGCCAUUACUGACGCUGAGGAGCGAAAGCAUGGGUAGCGAACAGG
RNAcentral lists this ribosomal RNA (419 nucleotides) under bacterium. RNAcentral's name for it is "partial 16S ribosomal RNA". It matches the Rfam family "Bacterial small subunit ribosomal RNA", at positions 355 to 776 of the family's 1533-position model. The record is from RNAcentral.